GUUCCGUAGGUGAACCUGCGGAAGGAUCAUUAUUGUAUAACCGAGGUGCGAGGGCUGUCGCUGACCCGAAAGGUCGUGCACGCCCGAGUGCCCUCACACACAUCCAUCUCACCCCUAUGUGCACCACCGCGUGGGUCCCCCUUUGGCUUGUUCGGAGGGGGGCUUACGUUUUCACACAAACUCUGUAUGCAGUGUAGAAUGUAUUUUUUGUUUUUGCGAUCACGCAAUCAAUACAACUUUCAACAACGGAUCUCUUGGCUCUC
Molecule: unclassified non-coding RNA, 263 nt
Filed under: plant metagenome
Description: partial contains small subunit ribosomal RNA, internal transcribed spacer 1, and 5.8S ribosomal RNA
Source: RNAcentral